GACAUUGAGCCAGGAUCAGGUGCCCGCCGGACGGGCUUAAAAGGGAAGACGGUGCAAAUCCGUCGCGGUCCCGCCGCUGUGAACGGGGACGAACGCCGCAUGGCCACUGUUGCAGCACGCCUGCAAUGGGAAGGGCGGCCAGUAGGAGGAUCCGUGAGCCAGAAGACCUGCCUGAGACCUGCGGGGAGA
Molecule: non-coding RNA, 189 nt
Filed under: Desulfacinum infernum
Lineage: Bacteria; Pseudomonadati; Thermodesulfobacteriota; Syntrophobacteria; Syntrophobacterales; Syntrophobacteraceae
Source: RNAcentral